CCACCACCCCCCCCCCCCCCCCACCCCCCCUCUUUUCUCCUUUUGAUCUUGCUCAAAAUUAACUCUGCAUGAUUGCACUCUAAUGAAAGAUAAUCUCUAAUAAUAAUAGUGGAGCUAGGAGUAAUGGUUGUCGAGGUUCAAAAUUGCCUAUAAUUUCUUUCAUAAAUAUUUCAAAAGUUUAUCUAUGACAUCCAUGGAUUUAAAGUUUGUUUCAAUUAUAUAUAAUGUGCGUGUGUAAUGGCAAUAACUUUCAUGAUUUCUUUAAUUUCAAGAUUUUAUGAAUAAUUAACCGUACAUCUCUUUCCUCUUAAUUAUUAGAGUAAUUAUGUUAUUAUCACUGUUUCCGAACUGUUUCAGAGCACAUAAUUUCAUAUUCAUGAUUUAAGUCUAAGCUAUUUCAUUAAGUUUCAGUAGAGCUAAUAAUAUACAGCUCCAACUUUUUUAUUGCUAUGAUGCUUUUUUUUUUUUGGCAGACUAUGA
This 480-nucleotide unclassified non-coding RNA is filed under the name Hevea brasiliensis (rubber tree). The record is from RNAcentral. Lineage: Eukaryota; Viridiplantae; Streptophyta; Magnoliopsida; Malpighiales; Euphorbiaceae.